This is a long non-coding RNA of Helianthus annuus (common sunflower), 158 nucleotides long. RefSeq lists it as uncharacterized. The record is from RefSeq and is a predicted model, not a curated record. Lineage: Eukaryota; Viridiplantae; Streptophyta; Magnoliopsida; Asterales; Asteraceae. The transcript has 3 exons.
CCGAACAUGAAUUAGUGAUCACCAACACAAGGGGAUCAUAAGGCAUAAGGAUCAUGUGGAAAUGGACUCAAGCAAGAAAGGCAAAAGGGUAAAAAGGAGGCAAGGGAACGGACGCAAAAAGGUUGUACGAAUCACGGGCGGUUAUCACGAGGAAUAGA